AUUGAACGCUGGCGGCAGGCCUAACACAUGCAAGUCGAGCGGAUGAAGGGAGCUUGCUCCUGGAUUCAGCGGCGGACGGGUGAGUAAUGCCUAGGAAGCUGCCUGGUAGUGGGGGAUAACGUCCGGAAACGGGCGCUAAUACCGCAUACGUCCGGAGGGAGAAAGUGGGGGAUCUGCGGACCUCACGCUAUCAGAUGAGCCUAGGUCGGAUUAGCUAGUUGGUGGGGUAAAGGCCUACCAAGGCGACGAUCCGUAACUGGUCUGAGAGGAUGAUCAGUCACACUGGAACUGAGACACGGUCCAGACUCCUACGGGAGGGAGAAGUGGGGAAUAUUGGACAAUGGGCGAAAGCCUGAUCCAGCCAUGCCGCGUGUGUGAAGAAGGUCUUCGGAUUGUAAAGCACUUUAAGUUGGGAGGAAGGGCAGUAAGUUAAUACCUUGCUGUUUUGACGUUCCCAACAGAAUAAGCACCGGCUAACUUCGUG
RNAcentral lists this ribosomal RNA (484 nucleotides) under uncultured bacterium. RNAcentral's name for it is "partial 16S ribosomal RNA". It matches the Rfam family "Bacterial small subunit ribosomal RNA", at positions 30 to 507 of the family's 1533-position model. The record is from RNAcentral.